This 212-nucleotide ribosomal RNA is filed under the name Klebsiella pneumoniae. RNAcentral describes it as "partial 23S ribosomal RNA". It matches the Rfam family "Bacterial large subunit ribosomal RNA", at positions 2157 to 2368 of the family's 2925-position model. Lineage: Bacteria; Pseudomonadati; Pseudomonadota; Gammaproteobacteria; Enterobacterales; Enterobacteriaceae. The record is from RNAcentral.
UUGAAGCGUGGACGCCAGUCUGCGUGGAGCCAACCUUGAAAUACCACCCUUUAAUGUUUGAUGUUCUAACGUAGGCCCCUGACCGGGGUUGCGGACAGUGUCUGGUGGGUAGUUUGACUGGGGCGGUCUCCUCCCAAAGAGUAACGGAGGAGCACGAAGGUUAGCUAAUCCUGGUCGGACAUCAGGAGGUUAGUGCAAUGGCAUAAGCUAGC